GGUUACUGGCGGGUUUCCAAGCAGAGUAGUUUGACUUCGCUUAUGGGUUAGGAGGAUCACGCUGGCUGCUGAGUUGGAAAUAGACUAAAGGUAAGCAGAAAGACCAGGCAGGAAGCUAUUUCAACACUCCUUAUUUCAGGAACAAUCACCAGAAUGUGAGCAGAGGGCAAGGUGAGAAGUGGUCAGAUUCUGGACAUAUUAAGAAGGCAGAAGGAAUACAAUUUGAUAACAGACUGGAUGUAAAUUUAAGAAAAAGAGGAAAGUUAAUGAUUCUACCAAGAAUCUGGAUGAAGCAACAAAGCCAUAAUUGCCAUUAGCAAGAUGGAGAAGACUUAGGAGGAAGCAGGUUUUGUGGUCACAGAUCAGGAGUCUGAUUUGGGACAUGUUAAGUUUGGAAUGAUCAAACAUCCUUGGAGAGAUAUUAAAGGGCAAUUAGCUAUGUCUGAAUUUCAGAAAAGAGGUAUAGACUAGAGAUGCCAAUUUGAGAGUUAUGAGCAUAUAUUUAAAGAUCAGAUAGUAGUUGAGAUCAUCAAAGCACUGGGCUAAAGAAGAGAUCCAAGGAUUGGGAUCUUGUGUAUUCCAGGAGGUCAGCAAAAGGAGCAAGUAAAAGGGUCUGAGAAAGAAUGACUGAAGAAGAACUGGUAAAAGGGACAAAAGCCAUCAUGAAGUGAGCAGUUCUGCUCCACCAUCCACUCCUGGCCAUGAUGUUCUGCUUUGCCACAGGCCCGGAACAAUGGAGCCAAAUGAUCAUGGAUUAAAACCUUGGAAGCCACAAGCCAAAAUAUAUCUCUUCUUUUAAGCUAAUUAUCUCAGGCCUCAGGUCCUUCUGAUACUAAAAUCAAUGCUUUCUCAACUGCAUCAUGCUGCUGAAAAUGAGCAAGAGGAGUCAACACAAAUAUAAAGGAGAAAUGAUAUUAAAAUUCUUAUUUUUAUAGGUUAAAGACAAUACCUUGCCUUGCUUACAGACUUGCAAAUAGCACAGUUGUGCAAUUCCUGUUCCUACAACUUUAAAAUUGACAGAUGGUAUUUGGAGAGCUAUGAUCUGGUGAACAAUGAAAUUUAACAGAGAUAGAUAUAAGAUCUUGUACCAACGGCCAAACAGUCAUAAAGCACAUCGUGGAGGAAGUUAUCUUAGAAGAAUCAAACAGAAGAUUCUGGAACUUUAGUAGAAAGUAAGCUCAGUAAGCUCAGAAACAAAGCGACUCUUUAAAAUUCACUAAUAGUUGGAUAAUGGUAGAAUGAAGAAAAUGAUAGUGCUUGUGGCAGGCACAAUUCCAAGGUGACCCCAGUGACACACAACCAUAUAUAAUCCCCAUGCUUUGCAGCUUUGCACAUGGGUGGACUAAGUAAGGAUGGGAUUCCACUUCCAUGAUGGAGGGCAGCAAUGGAAUGCAAAGAGCUGGGCGUGGAGAAGCAAAAAUCCAUGCUGCGAACUGCACCUGGAGAGAGAUGGCCUCUAGGAGCCGAGGGCCUCAGUUCUACACCACAAAGAGCCAGAUCCUGCCAACAAUCAAGAUGAACCUGGAGAGGUCUCCACACACUAACACAGCUUUAUGGGGUCUUGAGCCGAAGAGUGAGGUAGCCAUGCCCUGACUGCUGACCCACAGAGACAGAAAAUAAACGUGUGUUGUUUUAAGAUGCUAAAUGUGUGGUAAUAGUCACACAGCAAUAAAAAAAUGGAUACAGCGCCA
Molecule: RNA transcript, 1691 nt
Organism: Ictidomys tridecemlineatus (thirteen-lined ground squirrel)
Lineage: Eukaryota; Metazoa; Chordata; Mammalia; Rodentia; Sciuridae
Gene: Lhx4
Gene name: LIM homeobox 4
Source: RefSeq, a predicted model, not a curated record